RNAcentral lists this non-coding RNA (22 nucleotides) under Rattus norvegicus (Norway rat). The record is from RNAcentral. Lineage: Eukaryota; Metazoa; Chordata; Mammalia; Rodentia; Muridae.
CAGUUGUUCAAGUGCCUGCAAU